Long non-coding RNA from Equus asinus (donkey), 2251 nucleotides. NCBI's taxonomy places the organism in Eukaryota, Metazoa, Chordata, Mammalia, Perissodactyla, Equidae. The record is from Ensembl.
AGAGUGUUUGUACAAAAAAAAAAAACCUUUACAGUUGAGGGUUGUCGAGGAAAAAGAUUUUCUCUGUAAAUAUCUAGCAACGUGUUUGGUUUGGGAUGUGGAGGUAAUACCUUGCUGCUGAUUGCGUUGUUCACUCCAGCUUUUUUUUAAAUGAGGUUUUUGCUUUACCACUUAUGAUGUAGUAAUGACGCAAAAGGGUUACAACGGGAUGUAUGUAAAAGUAGAGAUGCGCCCAUGUUCAUGUGUGAACACAUCCACCCACAUGUUUUGGUUUGUGGUUUAAGAGAAUAUUUCAAGGCUACAUUUUGCUAAGUUAAAACAGUCUACGUAGAGUUAAAGAUGAAAGAAAGCCCUAAAUACCGUAGAUUGUGACUUUUAUGUGUUUUUUUAACCAGAGAUUUUGAUAGUACUGUAUCUGGCCUACCUAUGUUUCCAGAUCUAAAGCAAGAAUUACUCUAAUGGCUGCAUUUGGAAUCCUCCUCCAUUAGGAAUGGCCAGAAAAAUGGAGCUAGCGGCUUUCAUUUCAUAGUCAUCCUAAUGGACAUUUUGAUCCUGGGUCCAACUGUCUGAAAGGCUAGUUGUCCUUGUCUGUGGUGUGUACGUCGGGUCUUCACCCUAGGCGGAGCGGCGGCUAUGAACACACGUCGACUGCGUUUCUGUUCUCUUGCUUUUCCUCCUUCUCAUGCUCUUAAACUCAGGCCUUUAUGCUAUGAGUCACUAGUCCAAGAAGCACACAGUUUGUAGGAGUUCUGUACCAGCCCUGCUUUUGAGCAAAAAGGAAAAUUCCUGGCUGCACACAAGUCUGCGAGUACUUAGGUUGAGUAAUAAGCAUCAGGCAUUGGAAGAAAUGUUAAAUUUGCUUUUUUGAGGAAAAGGGGGGUGGAUUUUGGCAUCAUAGCAUAUAUAUUAAGGAAUAAUCAGGACAUCAGAUACAUUUUAAUACAUAGCUGGGGCCUUAUGUUGUAGAUGAAGCUUGCUGUUUUUAGCAAGUUCCUGGGUUUCACAUUCCUUUCUGAUGCAUCGAGUAGCUCCAUACAUUUCAUAACAUGGUCUCUUUAUUUGUAUGCAAAAAAAAAAAUACUGUAUUAAUAAAGAGCAGCAUUUUUGUAACAAAAAGACUUGUUGGAGCUAUUUGGUGCUUGAAUGUGACUGUCCUUUUUACUUUUGCUAAGCCUUAUUUAAAUUUUGUAUACCAUGGGAUAUGUAGAAUUUGUCAAAUCACUUUAGUGCUGAGGGGGUUUUUUGUUUGUUUUUUGUUGCAGUUUUUCCUGGUGGCUUGUUUUCUAUUGUAAGACAGCACUUGCUGACAUAAGUACUAAGGCACUAAGAGAAACACACACAGAUAAGUAUUUAUAAGUUGCUUGGGAUCCAUAGCAGGAUUUUUUGUUUUGUAAGAGAAAAAAAUUGUCAUUAAAUACUAAUCUAGCACCCUAACCCCCUCAGAGAUGUCUUAGUAUCUUCAGGCUAUAAAAUUGUUCAUCUAAGCGCAGCAACAUCUUACAGCCCUGUGGAUUGUAAAUCAUUUACCUUUACCGAGGCUAUAAACUCCGCUCCAAAAACAAAGGCAUCAUUUAAUCUACUGCCUGGUUGUCCUUCAUUGUAAGAUAGGUUGACAACGGCAAAACAGGAAAGAGUCUCCUUGUCCCUCACCUUUUUCCCCAUGCAGUUUUAGCCAUUCCCCGUUACUAUGUUGUGAAAUUGUAGAAGAAACAAAUACUUUACGAGAACUUCAAUGAGUUUCAAAAGCGGUCUCAGCAUUUAUAAUUCGGAUCUGUGUUUGGCGGUUGUCAUAACGCAAUCCUUCUGCACUCAGACAUCGAGACAGGUCUAUCGGGGAGGUAGUUCAUGGUUUACAGCCUUUGCUUUUUAACUGUCCAGUUUCCUUUAAAGCACAACUAGCUGCUUGUUUACAAAUGAUAUUUUUAUGUAUAUUUUGUAUAGUGUAUUAUCAUUUUUGCCAAAUAUGUUUUUGCAUUUUGGAUGAGUAAAGAGUACCUGAGGUUGCAUUCAUGUAGUCCCUGUUUGUUGUAAACCUCUCCAAUCAGCUGGUAGAAGUUCUCCUGUGUUCUCCUUGGUCCGUCUCCUGUGAUUGUAAGAUGUGCUCCUCGGUAGUACUCCCAGCUGUAGAUUUACCAGCUUAAAAGUUUGUUAGGAUCUGUGCAAUAAAGUGUUUGCGGUCUUAUUUUCUCUAAGAAAUUCCCUAUGGAUGUCAUAAUUGUUGUAUAUUGAACAAAUAUUUAUACUUAUGCAG